RNAcentral lists this long non-coding RNA (553 nucleotides) under Elaeis guineensis (African oil palm). Its description in RNAcentral is "long non-coding RNA (EGUI_LNC050270)". Lineage: Eukaryota; Viridiplantae; Streptophyta; Magnoliopsida; Arecales; Arecaceae. The record is from RNAcentral.
CAGAGAAUCCUGAUUCUCGAUCACUGAGUCCCAAACAUGUAGGAUUCUAUAUCAGCCAUCAGAUCAGAUAAGAACCUCUAAUGUGUGUGACCCCGCAGGUUCGAACCUAAGCCGGUAGCACAGGAACCAAUUCCUGUACUAAUCGAAGUGACCAUCUAGCAAUAGUAUCCGACGAUCGGAUAGGUUGAAUGGUCGCAAUCGCAACACUCAGAACCUAUGUGAAUAUGGUUACUGUAUAAUUCAUCCUUUUGACCUCUGUGUUUAGGACGACUCAGGGUUAAACUGUCAACCCUGAUCAGAUCAUCCGAAUCAUGCUCAACUCAAACAGUCCUAUGACUCCUCACAAGGACUACCCUGGUCAAGGUUUUGCUAAAUUAAAAUAUGACUGUAUACAGCUCUUAAACUGGAGUGGUCAAUCCCAUCUUGACACACGCACCGACAAGUCAAGUACUUGACUACACCCAGCAGCCUUCCAUCACUGAAUUAAAAAUUCAGAUAGUCCAAUGCCUAAGUACAGUGAGUUACUUGCAAGUCACCAUGGUGGUCUCAGGUC